Transfer RNA from Camelus ferus (Wild Bactrian camel), 72 nucleotides. It matches the Rfam family "tRNA". From Rfam's summary of the family: Transfer RNA (tRNA) molecules are approximately 80 nucleotides in length. Lineage: Eukaryota; Metazoa; Chordata; Mammalia; Artiodactyla; Camelidae. The record is from Rfam.
GAGGGUGUAGCUCAGUGGUAGAGCGUGUGCGUAGCACGCACGAGGUCCUGGGUUCAAUCCCCAGCACCUCCA